CCUACGGGUGGCAGCAGUGAGGAAUAUUGGUCAAUGGACGAGAGUCUGAACCAGCCAAGUCGCGUGAAGGAUGACGGCCCUACGGGUUGUAAACUUCUUUUGUCAGGGAGCAAUUGGGUCCACGCGUGGGCUUAGCGAGAGUACCUGAAGAAAAAGCAUCGGCUAACUCCGUGCCAGCAGCCGCGGUAAGACGGAGGAUGCGAGCGUUAUCCGGUUUUAUUGGGUUAAAAGGGUGCGUAGGCGGAAUAUCAGGUCAGCGGGAAAAAUUCGGGGCUCAACCCCGUCGUGCCGUUGAAACUGAUGAUCUUGAGUGGGCGAGAAGUAUGCGGAAUGCGUGGUGUAGCGGUGAAAUGCAUAGAUAUCACGCAGAACUCCGAUUGCGAAGGCAGCAUACCGGCGCCCAACUGACGCUGAAGCACGAAAGCGUGGGUAUCGAACAGGAUUAGAUACCCUUGUAGUC
RNAcentral lists this ribosomal RNA (460 nucleotides) under uncultured bacterium. Its description in RNAcentral is "partial 16S ribosomal RNA". It matches the Rfam family "Bacterial small subunit ribosomal RNA", at positions 338 to 795 of the family's 1533-position model. The record is from RNAcentral.